UGCGUAGGCGGCCUGGUAAGUCAGAGGUGAAAGCUCGCAGCUUAACUGUGGAAUUGCCUUUGAUACUGUCAGGCUUGAAUCAGGCUGAGGUGGCGGAAUGUGGCAUGUAGCGGUGAAAUGCUUAGAUAUGCCAUAGAACACCAAUUGCGAAGGCAGCUUACUAGACCUGAAUUGACGCUGAGGCACGAAAGCGUGGGGAGCGAACAGGAUUAGAUACCCUGGUAGUCC
This 228-nucleotide ribosomal RNA is filed under the name uncultured bacterium. RNAcentral's name for it is "partial 16S ribosomal RNA". It matches the Rfam family "Bacterial small subunit ribosomal RNA", at positions 568 to 796 of the family's 1533-position model. The record is from RNAcentral.